GCGGAUAUGAUAAUCGACUGAGAGAGAAUGUUGAAUAUCUGGUGGAACCUAGACGCCUGGCAGAAAGGGAAGGAGUCUCUCAUCGGGUAAACUUCAUUACGUCCUGCUCAACAGCUGACAGAAAUAAACUUCUUCCACAGUGCCUGUGUCAUUUAUACUCCUAAGGAUGAACACUUUGGCAUCGUCCCUUUGGAGGCAGUUUGCAGCUCAUAAGCCUGUGAUUGCAUGCAAUAGUGGUGGUCCUGUGGAGACUGUUAAGGAUGGAGAAACAGGAUUUCUUUGCAACCCUACUGGAAGUAAAGAAGAUUGAAAAUAGCAUAGUUAGCUGGAAGAUGAUGAUGCUAUAGAUCCUUUUAUGACCAAAUACAAGAUUAUUUUGAUAGACAGAAACCAUUGCCUCUUGUUGUUAUAUAUAUAUAUAUAUAUAUAUAUAUAUAUAUAUAUAUAUAUAUAUUGCCAAUUAUUGGUCGAGGAAGGGAAAAACCACAAUUAUGCGUCUGUUUUUUGACAUUUUAUUGUAUUUGAUAUUUAAUUUAGAUCUUCACAAUAUUAGAAUUGGUGGUGUCAAUGUAUGGUUA
This is a long non-coding RNA of Populus nigra (black poplar), 578 nucleotides long. RefSeq lists it as uncharacterized. Lineage: Eukaryota; Viridiplantae; Streptophyta; Magnoliopsida; Malpighiales; Salicaceae. The transcript is spliced from 2 exons. The record is from RefSeq and is a predicted model, not a curated record.